RNAcentral lists this ribosomal RNA (446 nucleotides) under uncultured bacterium. RNAcentral's name for it is "partial 16S ribosomal RNA". It matches the Rfam family "Bacterial small subunit ribosomal RNA", at positions 338 to 795 of the family's 1533-position model. The record is from RNAcentral.
CCUACGGGUGGCAGCAGUCGAGAAUCAUUCACAAUGGGGGAAACCCUGAUGGUGCGACGCCGCGUGGGGGAAUGAAGGUCUUCGGAUUGUAAACCCCUGUCAUGUGGGAGCAAAUUAAAAAGAUAGUACCACAAGAGGAAGAGACGGCUAACUCUGUGCCAGCAGCCGCGGUAAUACAGAGGUCUCAAGCGUUGUUCGGAAUCACUGGGCGUAAAGCGUGCGUAGGCUGUUUCGUAAGUCGUGUGUGAAUGGCGCGGGCUCAACCCGCGGACGGCACGUGAUACUGCGAGACUAGAGUAAUGGAGGGGGAACCGGAAGUCUCGGUGUAGCAGUGAAAUGCGUAGAUAUCGGGAGGAACACUCGUGGCGAAGGCGGGUUACUGGACAGUAACUGACGCUGAGGCACGAAGGCCAGGGGAGCGAAAGGGAUUAGAUACCCGAGUAGUC